AACUUCUGCUUUCAUCGCCUCGUAUCGUUCAACAUCAUAAGAUCUUCGCUUCUGUUUUACUGGUUUGGUCUUAGGAUCAAUACUCAAGUGGUGACAGAUGAUAUCGGGAGAGAUGCCCGGCAUAUCUUUAUAUGACCAAGCGAAGACCUCGGCGUUCUCUUGCAAAAAGGAGAUCAGCGACAACCGAAAGGGUGGUGACAAAGUGGUGCCAAUCUUCACCAUGCGAUCUGGAUGGUCUUUGGAGAUAGAGACAUUCUCUAA
RNAcentral lists this long non-coding RNA (261 nucleotides) under Malus domestica (apple). RNAcentral's name for it is "long non-coding RNA (MDOM_LNC001551)". The record is from RNAcentral. Lineage: Eukaryota; Viridiplantae; Streptophyta; Magnoliopsida; Rosales; Rosaceae.